CAUAUUUUGAUGAACUUCUCGCCAAGUCAUUCUUUCAAAAAUCUAUUGGAAGAAAAGGAUUAUGCUUUGUAAUGCAUGAUCUAAUACAUGAAUUGGCUCAACACGUGUCUGGAGAUUUUUGUGCUCGAGUGGAAGAUGAUGUUAAGUUACCAAAAGUAUCUGAGAAGGCUCACCACUUUGUGUACUUUAAAAGUGAUUUUACUGAGUUGGUUGCAUUUAAGAAUUUUGAGGUUAUCACUAGAGCUAAAUCUCUUCGGACAUUCUUAGAAGUGAAGUCAAUCGGAAACCUGCCUUGGUAUUAUUUGAGUAAAAGGGUUUUACAAGAUAUAUUACCAAAAAUGUGGUGUUUACGUGUGUUAUCAUUAUGUGCAUAUGCAAUAAUUGAUUUGCCUAAAUCGAUAGGUAAUUUGAAACAUUUGCGUUACUUGGAUUUGUCUUUCACAAUGAUUAAAAAUUUACCUGAAUCAAUAUGUUGUUUAUGCAAUUUACAAACGAUGAUGCUGAGAAAAUGUUCAAAACUCGAUGAAUUGCCUUCAAAGAUGGGAAAAUUGAUUAAUUUGCGCUAUCUUGAUAUUGAUGGAUGUGGUUCAUUGAGAGAAAUGUCAAGUCAUGGAAUUGGUCGAUUAAAAAGUUUACAAAGGUUGACUCAAUUUAUUGUGGGCCAAAACGAUGGAUUAAGAAUUGGAGAAUUGGGGGAGCUGUUAGAGAUUCGAGGAAAACUUUGUAUUUCAAACAUGGAGAAUGUGGUGAGUGUUAAUGAUGCAUCAAGGGCUAAUAUGAAGGAUAAAAGUUAUCUUGAUGAGUUAAUCUUUGAUUGGGGUGACGAGUGUACCAAUGGUGUUACACAAAGUGGUGCAACAACGCAUGAUAUACUCAACAAGUUACAACCUCAUCCAAAUUUAAAACAACUCUCCAUCACAAACUAUCCUGGUGAAGGAUUUCCAAAUUGGCUUGGAGAUCCUUCAGUGUUGAAUCUCGUGUCCCUUGAGCUUCGGGGUUGUGGCAAUUGCUCAACAUUGCCACCACUUGGACAGCUAACCCAGCUUAAAUAUCUGCAAAUCUCAAGGAUGAAUGGAGUAGAGUGUGUGGGUGAUGAGUUCUAUGGGAAUGCUUCCUUUCAAUUCCUAGAAACACUAUCAUUCGAGGAUAUGAAGAACUGGGAGAAAUGGUUAUGUUGUGGAGAAUUCCCUCGUCUCCAAAAGCUUUUUAUACAAAAGUGUCCCAAACUCACUGGGAAAUUACCAGAACAGCUUCUUUCAUUGGUGGAACUUCAAAUUCGUGAAUGUCCGCAGCUGCUUACGGCUUCACUCACAGUUCCUGCAAUUUGUCAAUUCAGGAUGAUGGAUUUUGGUAAACUGCAGUUGCAAAUGGCAGGUUGUGACUUCACAGCUCUUCAAACUUCAGAAAUUGAAAUUUUAGAUGUGUCUCAGUGGAGUCAACUUCCAAUGGCACCACACCAGCUCUCAAUUAGAGAAUGUGAUUAUGCGGAGUCUCUGCUAGAGGAGGAAAUCUCGCAAACCAACAUACAUGAUCUGAAAAUCUAUGAUUGUAGUUUUUCUAGAUCCCUGCACAAAGUUGGUUUACCCACUACACUGAAAUCACUAUUCAUCUCUGAGUGCUCGAAAUUAGCGUUUCCCCUACCUGAGUUGUUCAGAUGCCAUCUCCCAGUCCUUGAAAGUCUAAAAAUCAAACAUGGUGUUAUCGAUGAUUCUCUCUCGUUAUCCUUCUCAUUAGGCAUCUUCCCCAAGUUGACUCAUUUCACAAUCGAUGGUCUUAAGGGGCUUGAGAAGCUCUCGAUUUUGGUUUCAGAGGGUGAUCCCACAUCUUUAUGUUCCCUGUCUCUAGAUGCUUGCCCUGAUCUUGAAUCUAUCGAAUUGCACGCUCUCAACUUGGAGUCUUGUUCGAUUUAUAGGUGCUCCAAGCUCAGGUCGUUGGCACACAGACAGUCAUCUGUACAGAAGUUGAAUUUAGGGUCUUGUCCAGAAUUGUUGUUUCAGAGAGAGGGUUUGCCUUCCAACCUACGUAAACUUGGAAUUACCGAUUUCACGCCCCAGGUGGAGUGGGGUUUGCAAAGGCUGACCUCUCUUGCUCAUUUCACAAUCGAAGGUGGAUGUGAAGACAUUGAAUUAUUUCCCAAGGAGUGUUUGCUGCCCUCUUCUCUGGCUUCUCUUGAAAUUGAAUCAUUUCCCGAUCUCAAGUCUCUUGACAGUGGGGGUCUUCAACAGCUCACCUCUCUUCUAAAAUUAAAGAUCAGCCACUGCCCAGAGCUCCAGUUCUCGACAGGAUCGGUUCUUCAACACCUUAUCUCUCUAAAACGAUUAGAAAUUUAUGGAUGCUCGAGGCUCCAAUCAUUGACAGAAGCGGGUCUUCAACACCUCACCUCUCUUGAAAAAUUGGAGAUCGCAAACUGCCCAAUGCUCCAAUCCUUGACAAAAGUGGGUCUUCAACACCUCACCUCUCUUAAAACAUUAGGGAUCAAUAACUGCCGAAUGCUCCAAUCCUUGACAGAAGUGGGUCUUCAACACCUCACCUCUCUUGAAAGUUUGUGGAUCAAUAACUGCCCAAUGCUCCAAUCCUUGACAAAAGUGGGUCUUCAACACCUCACCUCUCUUGAAAGUUUGUGGAUCAAUAAGUGCCCAAUGCUCCAAUCCUUGACAAAAGUGGGUCUUCAACACCUCACCUCUCUUAAAACAUUGCGGAUCUAUGACUGUAGUAAGCUCAAAUACUUGACAAAAGAGAGACUUCCAGACUCCCUUUCUUAUCUGUUCAUCUACAAAUGUCCUGUACUGGAAAAACGGUGUCAAUUUGAGAAAGGGGAAGAAUGGCGUCAUAUAGCUCACAUUCCAACUAUAGAGAUCAAUGGUGUGCUAUAUUAAUCAAAGUGCCACUCCGCCAAUAUAGAGUCAGCAUGAGCAUAGAAGAUUUGUUAUGAUAAACAAAGUUUCAAUAAUGAGCAUGGAAGAAACAUGUAAGCUUGCAGUGAUUGGGCGUCCAUGUAAAAUGUGCUCUAACCAAGUGGACUUCUGCAAAAGGAAGUGGAAUAUGAAGAAAGAUAGAUUGUUCAGAUUUUCCCUGUAGAGGAAGGGAGAUUCCUGGGUGCUCAACACUUGAUGCUCACUGCUCUGUUCAAGAAGACUAAGAAACUCAGAGGAUCAGUUUCAGCCAUGUCAAAAGCAAAAGGAAAAGCUGAAGCUGAAGAUAUCAUGUAUAAAAACAGAGGAAUUUCCAUUGAAACUAGUCCAAAUGAUGGUACACUUUGUCACCCAGCUUCUUCAGAAAUUGCUGCUUGGCCCAUGGCAAGGUUAACAAUCCCCUCAACUGUGAAACAGUUUUUGAUGAGGUUGGCUAAUGAUCAAAUUCCACCAGUUCACUAUGAUUUAUACUGUAACAUGAUCAUACGUAUAAACCCUGAAGUUCUUAUAUAAAUGCUGAGAAUCUUCUAUUGGGCCCUAAUGGAUUAUGGAAGUUGUGUGAUUUUGGAAGCACCUCCACCAAUCAUAAGCACUUUAAGAAGCCUGAAUGGGCAUUGAAGAAGACAAUAUCAGAAAGUACAGUACACCUGCAUAUACAGCUCCCGAGGUUGAAUGGAAAACUAUGUUUUUUGAUAAGUUAGUGCUGACAUUUGGUUGAAAAAAUGUUGACUCCCAGGUUCUUCCUUUUCCUGUCCUAGAUGUGGGAAUUUGUUUAGGAGGAAACCUAUAAAUGAGAAAGUAGACAUUUGGCACAGAGAAAAGAUUGAAGCAACAGACUGGGAACUCCAGCAAAGAAAAUCCGUUUCCCCUGGCCCAGACUAAUCUUUGGCAGGCUUUCUCUGAGGCAGGUGCCCAGACAACAAUAGCAAGUCUGUUAGGACCCAAAAUGGCCAUCACAACAAACCAGCCACAGAAGGAACUUCUGGCCCUGAAACUUGGGGUUUUGGAACAGAGAGUUUUACAGCCACCCCUGCUGCCAGCUCUAAUAUUUCCAGACCCUCCAUUGGAGGCAAUAAUGCCCAGCUGUUUGUUGACUCAAAGAAGAUUGAGGGCAAGCUGGCUACUCAACCUGCUGAAUGGGCUGGUUUCUAACUUAUUUGGUGAGGUUAUAUCAUCCUGGGCACUUCUGGCCAUAAGAGAUGGGAAUAGGUAAAAAAGCAAAACAGAAAGGGAUUCAUGGCUUUCUGGGCAUGAUUAUGCUUGUAAGUAUUGAGUGUUUGCCUUAUGCAAUAGAAUACAACAUCUGCAUAAGUUCCCUGGUUUCCAUGGACUACUUACAAACUUGUACUGUUCUGAAUGCCUCGAUUUUCAGAAUGAAAGAAAACUCAACCCUCUCAUCCGUAAUUGAGAACCAUCUAAAGACUGGCCAUGGAAUAAGCUCAAGCCUUUCUGUACAGAGCAGCUGGACUCUCUCAAAUUUUUUAUUUGUAAAUAUCCAAAGCUAUGAGUUCAAAGUCAUUAAAUGUGGCAAUCCCCGUUGACCUCAAUAACAGCUUAAGGAGUGUGUUAGACUGUUACCAUUGAUCAAUUCAGUCCAAAAGGCAUUCCAUUCAGGGAAGAGGAAAUAGAAGAAAAUGGAAGCUCUUGAUGUAUUUUGAUUUUGAUCAAGGCUUUCUUGAUGUAUACUCUGAUGUUUUGCUCAGAUUAAUCCUGAUGAUUUUCUUAACUGGAAAGGUGACUUUUCCCAGUGAAGGAAUUGGAGAUUCCUGGGUGCUGAACUAUUGAUGUUCAUUGUUCUGUUCAAGAAGAACAAGAAACUGUGAGUAGAAGGUUCAUCACUUUAGAAUUAUCUUCUGAACAUUCUGAAAAAUAAUUUACUCAUCCGGGUUGAGCUCUAAAAUUAUGGUAAUGGUUAGAAUGCAAAGCCCUCUUCCAGAA
RNA transcript from Vitis riparia (riverbank grape), 4850 nucleotides. It is a transcript of the gene named putative disease resistance RPP13-like protein 1, with no coding region annotated. Lineage: Eukaryota; Viridiplantae; Streptophyta; Magnoliopsida; Vitales; Vitaceae. The transcript has 8 exons. The record is from RefSeq and is a predicted model, not a curated record.